UGAGGAAUAUUGGGCAAUUCCCGCAAGGGUGACCCAGCAACGCCGCGUGGAGGAUGAAUGUCGUAAGAUUGUAAACUCCUGUUAGAGGGGAAGAAUAGUACCGGUUGGACCGGUAUAUGACUGUACCCUCAGAGAAAGCCCCGGCUAACUACGUGCCAGCAGCCGCGGUAAUACGUAGGGGGCAAGCGUUGUCCGGAUUUCCUGGGUGUAAAGGGCGCGCAGGCGGGAUAAAAAGUCAGUGGUGAAAUCCUACAGCUUAACUGUAGAACUGCCUUUGAUACUUGUAUUCUUGAGUUCGGGAGAGAGAGACGGAAUUCCAGGUGUAGUGGUGAAAUACGUAGAUAUCUGGAAGAACACCAGUUGCGAAGGCGGUCUCUUGAUCCGACACUGACGCUGAGGCGCGAAAGCGUGGGGAGCAAAC
RNAcentral lists this ribosomal RNA (421 nucleotides) under uncultured bacterium. RNAcentral's name for it is "bacterial SSU rRNA". It matches the Rfam family "Bacterial small subunit ribosomal RNA", at positions 355 to 773 of the family's 1533-position model. The record is from RNAcentral.